This 69-nucleotide transfer RNA is filed under the name Mespilia globulus. RNAcentral's name for it is "tRNA-Trp". It matches the Rfam family "tRNA". Rfam says of the family: Transfer RNA (tRNA) molecules are approximately 80 nucleotides in length. Their secondary structure includes four short double-helical elements and three loops (D, anti-codon, and T loops). Further hydrogen bonds mediate the characteristic L-shaped molecular structure. tRNAs have two regions of fundamental functional importance: the anti-codon, which is responsible for specific mRNA codon recognition, and the 3' end, to which the tRNAs corresponding amino acid is attached (by aminoacyl-tRNA synthetases). tRNAs cope with the degeneracy of the genetic code in two manners: having more than one tRNA (with a specific anti-codon) for a particular amino acid; and 'wobble' base-pairing, i.e. permitting non-standard base-pairing at the 3rd anti-codon position. Lineage: Eukaryota; Metazoa; Echinodermata; Echinoidea; Temnopleuroida; Temnopleuridae. The record is from RNAcentral.
AAGAACUUAAGUUAAAUAAACUAAAAGCCUUCAAAGCUUUAAAUAAGAAUGAAAUCUUCUUAGUUCUUG